Long non-coding RNA from Sander lucioperca (pikeperch), 98 nucleotides. RefSeq lists it as uncharacterized. NCBI's taxonomy places the organism in Eukaryota, Metazoa, Chordata, Actinopteri, Perciformes, Percidae. The transcript is spliced from 3 exons. The record is from RefSeq and is a predicted model, not a curated record.
AGCCAGCUGCUAGUGUGGCGUAGAGCAGUGAACGUCAACUGGCGGCCCGCAGCCAAAGCGUUUUGUCUGGCCCGCAGAAUAAUCAUGGAUUCAGAAAA